AUAAUAAUGCGAACAAAAAAUUUAGUAAAACUAACAUUGUGUUACCAUUUCUCAGUUUGAUUCAACUUUAUGUUAGAUUUAUCCAACAAUAUAUAUGUUGGUUCAUUGGUUACAAUUUGUUUGUUUGACUUAAUUCAUUAAUUUUUUAUAUGAGAUGUAAUACUUAAUUAUAAUUGUAAAUUUUUUAUAUUAGUAAUUAACUUUAGAAAAAAAAACAUGUGAUUGCAUGAAUAAUAUAUGUUGCAUAAUGUAUAAAAUAUCUAUUUGAUAUAUCAUCUUAUAUUUGUAUAUAUACAUUUGAUAUUUGAAUUUCCUUUUUUUGUCAUACUAGCUAUGACAUAAAAACUAUAAAAAUUGCUUUCCCUUAAUUUCUUUUUGACAUUUCCUUUUGCUUUUAGCAGUCUAUCUCAUAAAAAUUGCUAUAGCAUCCUAUUUAAGCACAAUAAAAUUAAAUACUGUGGAGGUAGAAUAGCAUCUUUCCUUCUAUGAAAGAGGAGAUUAUGUAGUUUCAUUUUCCAUAUGCAAAAAAUGAGGUAAGAAGAGAGCUAGGCAAAUCCUAAGGGUUUUGCAAGUGAAAAGAAAUAAAGAGGGGAUUGAUUAAUUCCACUGUUAGGGGUCUAAUCAAAAUCACCUAGUUGAUUAAUAUAGUUGCAUUUUUUAAUUAAAGAUAAAACUUUUGAAUUCAAAAUUUCAAAUCAAUGUGAAGUUAAUGAGAAAAAAUUACAUUAAUAUUGAAAUUAAAGAUUGAACACGCACCUGUCACAAUCCUCAAGCAUGCAGCCAGGGAGACAUUUCACGUGCAUCUCAAUUUCGAGCUUUGGAAGAAAAGACUGUGAUGAUAAACCCUGGUGGUUGUGGCCUUUAAUCCACGUAAUUAGCUACGCUAAUUAAAAUAAAAUAUAAUUAAUUAAGUUAAAAUCUUGCCGUAAUUAAGUUUCUCAUGUCAAAUUUCGAUGGAGUUGAUAUAUAUCGAUCACAACUAUAUUACUAAUUUUUCU
This 998-nucleotide long non-coding RNA is filed under the name Durio zibethinus. RNAcentral describes it as "long non-coding RNA (DZIB_LNC000258)". The record is from RNAcentral. Lineage: Eukaryota; Viridiplantae; Streptophyta; Magnoliopsida; Malvales; Malvaceae.